This 502-nucleotide ribosomal RNA is filed under the name uncultured bacterium. RNAcentral's name for it is "partial 16S ribosomal RNA". It matches the Rfam family "Bacterial small subunit ribosomal RNA", at positions 29 to 523 of the family's 1533-position model. The record is from RNAcentral.
AUUGAACGCUGGCGGAAUGCUUUACACAUGCAAGUCGGACGGCAGCACGGGAGCUUGCUCCUGGUGGCGAGUGGCGAACGGGUGAGUAACAUAUCGGAACGUACCCAGACGUGGGGGAUAACUAGUCGAAAGACUAGCUAAUACCGCAUACGUCCUGAGGGGGAAAGCGGGGGAUCGCAAGACCUCGCGCGUUUGGAGCGGCCGAUAUCUGAUUAGCUAGAUGGUGGGGGAAAGGCCCACCAUGGCGACGAUCAGGAGCUGGUCUGAGAGGAUGAUCAGCCACACUGGAACUGAGACCGGGUCCAGACUCCUACGGGAGCAAGCAGUGGGGAAUUUUGGACAAUGGGCGCAAGCCUGAUCCAGCCAUUCCGCGUGAGUGAAGAAGGCCUUCGGGUUGUAAAGCUCUUUCGGCAGGAACGAAACGGUGGGCUCUAAUACAGCCUAUUAAUGACGGUACCUGAAGAAGAAGCACCGGCUAACUACGUGCCAGCAGCCGCCGCAG